Long non-coding RNA from Astatotilapia calliptera (eastern happy), 1268 nucleotides. The record is from Ensembl. NCBI's taxonomy places the organism in Eukaryota, Metazoa, Chordata, Actinopteri, Cichliformes, Cichlidae.
AAGGUAGACCCUACAAUAAUACAUACAGACAAAAACCCAACAAUCAUAUGACCCCCUAUGAGCAAGCACUUUGGCGACAGUGGGAAGGAAAAACUCCCUUUUAACAGGAAGAAACCUCUGGCAGAACCAGGCUCAGGGAGGGGCGGUGCCAUCUGAUCAGCUGUUCCUGAAUGUACCCAGGACUGAGUGUAAACUUAGAGGAAACCGUGCUUUUGCUGUAGCAGCUCCAGACAGGCCUCUUCUCUGCCUGUUUUUACAUCACUUCUGGAAACCCACGUCUUCACCCUGGCAUUUCACACCCUGCUAGAUGUUAUUUAUUUUUUUAUUUUUUUAGGUGAUUGUAGUGAGAUGAUGAUGUUGAUUUUAGUGAGAUGUUGGUUUUUAAUUCAUUUUCAUUUCAGUUGUUUUUUAGUCGAUUGUAUGUUGUUGUUUUUAAUGUAGGACUGUUUUAAUUUUAUGUAUUAUGUGUUUUAUUAUUUAUUUUGUUGCUGUUUUGUUUGAUCUAUUGCUCUUAACUUAUUUACUGUACACACUUUGGUCUUGUGCUGGCUAUUUUAAAGCUCUUUAUAAAAAAAGUUGGACUGGAUCUGCCGCGAAUGGUUGGGGUGAGAGAAGGAAGACAGGAUAAAAGGCCUAACUGUCUAAGGCCUGUCCAAGGUAUCCUGCCUUUUCCUCAACUGGACCCUGAGUUGUGGUCAAGAAAUUGGAUGGAAGACCUUCCUUUAGUUCCCCAUGAAACAGAAGAUUUGAGCAGCAGGUGACUGGAGCAUCUGUGCUCACAGCCAGACCCAAGGCGCUAAGAUGUGAGACAAAAGUAGGGGGGAAAACGAUGUAUGAAAAGAGCAGAUUGAAGCCAAAGCUUUUGGCUUACAGGUGGACUCAUGUUCUGCAUCAUGGCUCAAAAUAAGAUAAAUAAGGAUUUCAUUUUUAAUUAUGCAAAGCCCCCGGAGUAGAGUCCAAGAUUAAAAAUAUAGAGUUUUUAAAGAGUUUACACUGACAGGAGACACUAAAAUAUCAGCCACUCAAAAACAAGCAGUGAGAAAAGAAGACAUUAUAAAGCACUGUUAGGAGCAGCAUUAAGAAAGCUUAAAUGAGCUUAAACAGAGAACUCAAUAAUUCCUUAAUAUGAAUGAAGUCAAAUGUGAGUGUAGCUUGAUGCCCUGCUGAACUAUUUUUGAUUAUAAGGACUUUGUGUUUCAGUGUUACCUGUGCUGUUUAUUUAAUUAUAACACAAUACAUUCUCCUUAUAUAUGCUCAAGAUCAUAGAG